RNAcentral lists this long non-coding RNA (4519 nucleotides) under Dicentrarchus labrax (European seabass). RNAcentral's name for it is "lncRNA (ENSDLAG00005030309.1)". The record is from RNAcentral. Lineage: Eukaryota; Metazoa; Chordata; Actinopteri; Moronidae.
AAAAAGUCACCUGCACAUUAAAUGGAUACAUGCUCAAAAAUUCUCCCUGACAAGAAAAAUCUAAACACUGAUAAUGACCUCACACACAGGCUUUGGUCACACUCAGAGUACUGCUGGACACAACCACAUACGCUCAAACAAGUUGCCCACAUACUGGCUCUGCACCAUGUCAGAUCCAAAUCUAGAUAUUUGUACUUCUGGGAGAUUGAAGGGUUCCACCUCUGCUUUUAUUCCUCAAGUGGGUGAUGCAAAAGCACUGAUUCCUCCCCCACUACCUCUCAAACGCCACCAGAGGUCACCUGAAUUUGAGACAACUUUAAGCCAGGGCCCACAACUGAAAGCCUUUAAUAUAGAGAGCUCACUGGCAUGUCAGACUUCUCUUGGGGAAGUCCCAGGGGAAGUACAUGACAUUCACAGUAGCCGCAUAUUUGGAAUUUUACCAAAAGUGGAACAAAAAUGCCACAAAAAUGAACAAACACAGUUUGCUCCAAGACCUCCUCUUACACCACCUAUAAAACCUCCACGGCCUAAUAAGCCAAAAAAGGCUGAGCUAGAGGAAGAAAAGACAGGAGACAAGAAGAACAGGCAUGAGCAAGAGCUGAUGGAAAGAAAUGAGAAUACAGAAGAGAAUGAAGAAACAUCUAAAAUAGAAAGUCAUCUGCACGUAGGUAAACCUCCACGGCAGAUCUUAGUAAUAUUUACAGAAUAUCUACGGGAGAAAGGUGGAGAGGACAGGGGAAAGGAAGAUAAAGAACCUAAUAAUAUUGAGCUGACCACUACCUUGACAGAAAAUUCAUUCCUGCUAGCAAUGAAAGGCUCAGACCUUACCUCAGAUGAAGAACCUGACAUGGCAGCAACAAACAGAAAGUCUAUAGUUUCAGUGAAACAAGAACCAACAAUUCCACCACAGCCUCCUCCAAAGACACAUCAGAAGUGUCCCCCAAAACCACCAAUCAAACCUCUACAGCUCUUCAGCGCCAUGAGGUCCAGGAUAGAAGAGGAAACAGAGAGUAGGAAGCAGGUGGAUGAAUGGUUAAGAGACAAUGGCUUGGUGGACAAAGAAAGGAAUGAAGAGGAAGACGAAGGAAAGGAUGGAGGAAAGGUAAAUGUAGAUACAGAGUCAAUGACACCAACCAUGACAGAAAUGCCUUCCCGACCAAAAGAAAUAGUAAUGAAGUCCAUCCCCAAGUCUUCAGUGUAUCAGGAGGUGGAACUGCCAAGAGCAGGGCAAAGAUUUUGUCUCAUGCCCCCUUGUAGAAACAAACCGUCAGAAAUCACAACUGAGAACAAAACUCUUCAUCAGUCUCAGCUCCCAGGGAAACAACACCUGAACCAUGCAGAUGGACAAGUCCAUCCUGGUCCUCUUCCACAAAAGAUUCCUAUUCCUGUCCCAUGGGUACAAGACUCUGAAGUAAUUUCUAAGUUGCCAUCUGGACAUCAGGAAGGGACAGAGGUGGUGGGGUCGAAGUUGGAUCCACAUCAGCUGGAUGCACAGGAAAUUGCUGAGAUGCUUUUGGAUGGAGAACUAAAGCAAACAAACCAGAAGACCAAUGCAAGAGGAAAGGUGAAACAGCUUGCCAAGAAGGUGAUCGGUAGAUUGAAAGAGGGACGAGAGGACAAAAGAAGAAGCAAAGCGCUAGAGAUGGAAAUAGAUGAUACUGAACUGACACAGGAUGAAAAGUGGCAUGGGGAAGAAGGAGGAAUGAAGGAUGAGGAGAAAGAGGAAGGGAAUGAUGCAGUUACUGUGGACCAAUCAGCAGUGACAGAGACACAGAGCUAUGCUGACCGGAUGAAAGGGAGGAUUGCAAGAAGAAAUGCAACAUCUGAAAGUCCUUUCAGCUCCUUUAAAGUCUCCAGUCCAGUGAAGCUAGUGGAAGAGCUCCUGUCGGGUGAUGAGUGGUCACAGUUCCUGCACAGAGACCAGAGCCCCAUGAAUGACCCCCCUCCAUGCCAGACACACUUGGAGGACACGGGACAGCUCAGUGCGAACUUCCAGUUAAACUCCAGUGGUGAACAGGGCCUCACUCUGGAUGUGUUUGAAGGCGACCAUGCUGUCCCAGAAGAUCCCGUCUAUGAGGAUAUCGACCUGCCAACUAUUAACAAAGAAGAGCAGCAAACACGUGAGCAACAGGAGAACAGAGCACGCAGCACUGCUAUUCCAAGUAUACUGCUGGAGAGGGAAACAAAUCCGAUGAGCCCCGGGACCAAAGACAUUUAUGAUACAGUGGUGUUUAUAGAGCCUGUGCAGCCAGUCUAUGUCAAGUCGCAGUGUGUUUUGAGCACUUCAGUUCAGAAGUACAUCAUCAAGCUGAGCAAGAAGAGGAAACACAGACCACCACAGAAAUGGCAUCGCCAUAACAACCAAGCGGAUACCCUCAACCAGUCUACUACCUCCACCUCUCCACAAGUAUUCUCCACCUCCAUCUUCUACAACGUCCCACCUUCAGGAGGAGAGGAGCUGCUCUCUACAGUAAAGCCUGGAGCAAGCAGUCCCAGUCUGGCCAAGAUAAAGACCAUACUGAGAGGAUCAUCACCAAAGGAGGACAGAGGAAAGUAAUGGAUGCUUAAUCCAUUUUAUUCACAGUGUGUUCAAGGUAAUGCAGCCAGCGGUUUGGCAGGUGCCCGCCGUUAGCUCGCGACGACGCUCACACAUGACGUAGUUGAUAAACAGUGCACACUCAUUUCAAAUCAUAAAGCAGCAGUCAGUGGGAGUCUAUCGGCAGCAGUUGGUGAGAGUGAGUGAAGGUGUGUGGUGACUGGUAUUGUUUGGCUCGUAAAAACACAGAUACAACUUAGGCUUUUAUUCAUAUAAAAUAGUUUGUCUGAGUACAAAAGUUACCUGGGCCAUCAUUCAACACCUGUCUUUACCCUACUAUUUCAUGUGGCUGCUGUGAAAAAGGCCUAUAGGGCCCAACUUGAAACUGAAGUAUUGACGCACGUUAAUCAGUCAGUCGUUGAUGAAUAUGUGAUGGAUAUAUGUUCCAGGAGCUCAAUGUGCAGUAACCAUGAUUACUUCCUGUAUAUUGCACUACAGGUCUGUACCUUGUUUUUGUUUACUUUAAUCUUGUUUGCACCUAUGUGUGGUCUGAUCACUCCCAUUGAAUGUUGCACUUUUUACUGUACUGCACUAUAUAAAGAUGGGUAGCAAUAGAGUCUGUCUUAUCUCUUACUUCCUUAUUAUGUAUAUAUUAGUCAAAGUGACAUAUUGUUGUUGUUACAAGGAAUACUAAAUGACUUCAUGACUUACUGUACCAUUUUGAGUUUACCCUUCUCAUUACAGUUAUGUAGAUUCUUAAAGGCGCUGUAAGUGAUAUCUUUUUGUUAUAAUAAGUGUUAAAUAGCUGUACAUUCUGACAGCCAUCACUGAUACAGAGUGUUUACUCAGUAACGUGUCUCCGAGUCCCUCCUGUAGUAAACAGAGAAUAAAUGUUCUGGUAUCCUGUUCCCACUUUAUCCAAUCAGGAGAGAGAACUCCACAAAGAGAGCUGAAUGCAGUGAUGUGGGGACGAGGGAGGGGACUGCUAACUGAAAGAGCAGACAGGAGCCAAAAUGCCAAUUUUGCUUAGAGCACCUUUAAUGCUUGUAGGAAUGAAAGGAGGCGACACAGUGUGUUGACUGUAUGAGGAGUGUGUGUCAGUGACAGUGUCAGCAUGAUCCCAAAUGAAUGCUAAUGUUGCUCUGUGUCUGCUGUAUGUGUAAAACAUUUGCUAACAUGUUAGGCACAUCAACUUAAAAGGUGAUGGUAUGUCAGAGUUGUUUCUGCUGCCCCCAUGUGGGAAAAACAGUUAUAAUAAUAAUACAUAAUAUAUAAGCUGAAACGGGUACAUUAAUACAUAAUCAAAUGCAAAAUUAAAUGAAUAAAUUGUGGUACUUGAUGGGAAAUGCAUCACUACAUAAUGUAGUUGUUGUUUGUAUUUUAUUUUUUACAUUGAUUUUUUUGUCAUUUCAGCAUUUUUUUAACAGAUUUAAAAUCUGUUAAAUUUGGAAGAUCACAUUGAGUCGCUGAAACAUAUCAGUUAUAAUAAAUGUAUAGAAUUGAUAUCUAUAUAUUAUAUAUAUUGCUAUCUGAAUUGCAGCUGAUGCUGCUUCAUCAUUCAACUUUCCACCUCUCUGUCUGGUUCAGUCACCUGAAGAGAUCUAAGAAUAAACUUCUAGGAUUGUGCCAAAUAGUUCGCAAACUCCAAAAGCCCCUGACUCAACUUUUGUUUUAGAAAGGAUGAGGAAGAAAGCGAGAGGCAUCCUGGAAGAUCCUCUUCAGGAGUCUAAGGUAUAUUCUAAUCUACUUUUGGGAAAAGAGAAAAAGCACCUUUUUUGUUUCUCAUUUUUAUUAGUUACCAAAAUAUUACACAUCAUGUCCUCAAAAUCAUAUCCAUACCAUAUCCCCAGCAACGCUUAAUAAGGUUCAAAAUGCUAUAUACAUUGAUACAGAAAGGAAAGGUAUGACAGCUUGCAGGUGAAGGCAAAUGAAGAGCUAAUGAGACUGAUGGAUGAGUGCAUGUACAAAAGAACAUGAAGUAAA